Molecule: ribosomal RNA, 1528 nt
Filed under: Klebsiella pneumoniae
Lineage: Bacteria; Pseudomonadati; Pseudomonadota; Gammaproteobacteria; Enterobacterales; Enterobacteriaceae
Description: bacterial SSU rRNA
Rfam family: Bacterial small subunit ribosomal RNA
Source: RNAcentral
AGAGUUUGAUCAUGGCUCAGAUUGAACGCUGGCGGCAGGCCUAACACAUGCAAGUCGAGCGGUAGCACAGAGAGCUUGCUCUCGGGUGACGAGCGGCGGACGGGUGAGUAAUGUCUGGGAAACUGCCUGAUGGAGGGGGAUAACUACUGGAAACGGUAGCUAAUACCGCAUAAUGUCGCAAGACCAAAGUGGGGGACCUUCGGGCCUCAUGCCAUCAGAUGUGCCCAGAUGGGAUUAGCUAGUAGGUGGGGUAACGGCUCACCUAGGCGACGAUCCCUAGCUGGUCUGAGAGGAUGACCAGCCACACUGGAACUGAGACACGGUCCAGACUCCUACGGGAGGCAGCAGUGGGGAAUAUUGCACAAUGGGCGCAAGCCUGAUGCAGCCAUGCCGCGUGUGUGAAGAAGGCCUUCGGGUUGUAAAGCACUUUCAGCGGGGAGGAAGGCGAUAAGGUUAAUAACCUCACCGAUUGACGUUACCCGCAGAAGAAGCACCGGCUAACUCCGUGCCAGCAGCCGCGGUAAUACGGAGGGUGCAAGCGUUAAUCGGAAUUACUGGGCGUAAAGCGCACGCAGGCGGUCUGUCAAGUCGGAUGUGAAAUCCCCGGGCUCAACCUGGGAACUGCAUUCGAAACUGGCAGGCUAGAGUCUUGUAGAGGGGGGUAGAAUUCCAGGUGUAGCGGUGAAAUGCGUAGAGAUCUGGAGGAAUACCGGUGGCGAAGGCGGCCCCCUGGACAAAGACUGACGCUCAGGUGCGAAAGCGUGGGGAGCAAACAGGAUUAGAUACCCUGGUAGUCCACGCCGUAAACGAUGUCGAUUUGGAGGUUGUGCCCUUGAGGCGUGGCUUCCGGAGCUAACGCGUUAAAUCGACCGCCUGGGGAGUACGGCCGCAAGGUUAAAACUCAAAUGAAUUGACGGGGGCCCGCACAAGCGGUGGAGCAUGUGGUUUAAUUCGAUGCAACGCGAAGAACCUUACCUGGUCUUGACAUCCACAGAACUUUCCAGAGAUGGAUUGGUGCCUUCGGGAACUGUGAGACAGGUGCUGCAUGGCUGUCGUCAGCUCGUGUUGUGAAAUGUUGGGUUAAGUCCCGCAACGAGCGCAACCCUUAUCCUUUGUUGCCAGCGGUUCGGCCGGGAACUCAAAGGAGACUGCCAGUGAUAAACUGGAGGAAGGUGGGGAUGACGUCAAGUCAUCAUGGCCCUUACGACCAGGGCUACACACGUGCUACAAUGGCAUAUACAAAGAGAAGCGACCUCGCGAGAGCAAGCGGACCUCAUAAAGUAUGUCGUAGUCCGGAUUGGAGUCUGCAACUCGACUCCAUGAAGUCGGAAUCGCUAGUAAUCGUAGAUCAGAAUGCUACGGUGAAUACGUUCCCGGGCCUUGUACACACCGCCCGUCACACCAUGGGAGUGGGUUGCAAAAGAAGUAGGUAGCUUAACCUUCGGGAGGGCGCUUACCACUUUGUGAUUCAUGACUGGGGUGAAGUCGUAACAAGGUAACCGUAGGGGAACCUGCGGUUGGAUCACCU